GAUGAACGCUGGCGGCGUGCCUAAUACAUGCAAGUCGAGCGAACAGAUAAGGAGCUUGCUCCUUUGACGUUAGCGGCGGACGGGUGAGUAACACGUGGGUAACCUACCUAUAAGACUGGGAUAACUUCGGGAAACCGGAGCUAAUACCGGAUAACAUUUGGAACCGCAUGGUUCUAAAGUGAAAGAUGGUUUUGCUAUCACUUAUAGAUGGACCCGCGCCGUAUUAGCUAGUUGGUAAGGUAACGGCUUACCAAGGCGACGAUACGUAGCCGACCUGAGAGGGUGAUCGGCCACACUGGAACUGAGACACGGUCCAGACUCCUACGGGAGGCAGCAGUAGGGAAUCUUCCGCAAUGGGCGAAAGCCUGACGGAGCAACGCCGCGUGAGUGAUGAAGGGUUUCGGCUCGUAAAACUCUGUUAUUAGGGAAGAACAAAUAUGUAAGUAACUGUGCACGUCUUGACGGUACCUAAUCAGAAAGCCACGGCUAACUACGUG
Molecule: ribosomal RNA, 497 nt
Filed under: uncultured bacterium
Lineage: Bacteria
Description: partial 16S ribosomal RNA
Rfam family: Bacterial small subunit ribosomal RNA
Source: RNAcentral